UGCCUACGGGGGGCAGCAGUGAGGAAUAUUGGUCAAUGGGCGGAAGCCUGAACCAGCCAAGUCGCGUGAGGGAAUAAGGCCCUACGGGUCGUAAACCUCUUUUGCCGGGGAGCAAGGGCGGGGACGUGUCCCGGCCCGGAGAGUACCCGGAGAAAAAGCAUCGGCUAACUCCGUGCCAGCAGCCGCGGUAAUACGGAGGAUGCGAGCGUUAUCCGGAUUUAUUGGGUUUAAAGGGUGCGUAGGCGGGCUUUUAAGUCAGCGGUAAAAAUUCGGGGCUCAACCCAGUCCGGCCGUUGAAACUGGGG
RNAcentral lists this ribosomal RNA (305 nucleotides) under uncultured bacterium. Its description in RNAcentral is "bacterial SSU rRNA". It matches the Rfam family "Bacterial small subunit ribosomal RNA", at positions 335 to 638 of the family's 1533-position model. The record is from RNAcentral.